UACGAAGGGGGCUAGCGUUGCUCGGAAUCACUGGGCGUAAAGGGCGCGUAGGCGGCCUUGUAAGUUGGGGGUGAAAGCCCGUGGCUCAACCACGGAAUUGCCUUCGAUACUGCUUGGCUUGAGACCGGAAGAGGUGAGUGGAACUGCGAGUGUAGAGGUGAAAUUCGUAGAUAUUCGCAAGAACACCGGUGGCGAAGGCGGCAUCCUGGACCGGUAUUGACGCUGAGGAGCGAAAGCCAGGGGAGCAAACGGG
Molecule: ribosomal RNA, 253 nt
Filed under: uncultured bacterium
Lineage: Bacteria
Description: partial 16S ribosomal RNA
Rfam family: Bacterial small subunit ribosomal RNA
Source: RNAcentral